GAACGCUGGCGGCAGGCUUAACACAUGCAAGUCGAGCGGGGAAAGGUAGCUUGCUACUGGACCUAGCGGCGGACGGGUGAGUAAUGCUUAGGAAUCUGCCUAUUAGUGGGGGACAACAUUCCGAAAGGAAUGCUAUUACCGCAUACGUCCUACGGGAGAAAGCAGGGGACCUUCGGGCCUUGCGCUAAUAGACGAGCCUAAGUCGGAUUAGCUAGUUGGUGGGGUAAAGGCCUACCAAGGCGACGAUCUGUAGCGGGUCUGAGAGGAUGAUCCGCCACACUGGGACUGAGACACGGCCCAGACUCCUACGGGAGGCAGCAGUGGGGAAUAUUGGACAAUGGGGGGAACCCUGAUCCAGCCAUGCCGCGUGUGUGAAGAAGGCCUUAUGGUUGUAAAGCACUUUAAGCGAGGAGGAGGCUACUAGUAUUAAUACUACUGGAUAGUGGACGUUACUCGCAGAAUAAGCACCGGCUAACUCUGUGCCAGCAGCCGCGGUAAUACAGAGGGUGCGAGCGUUAAUCGGAUUUACUGGGCGUAAAGCGUGCGUAGGCGGCCAUUUAAGUCAAAUGUGAAAUCCCCGAGCUUAACUUGGGAAUUGCAUUCGAUACUGGAUGGCUAGAGUAUGGGAGAGGAUGGUAGAAUUCCAGGUGUAGCGGUGAAAUGCGUAGAGAUCUGGAGGAAUACCGAUGGCGAAGGCAGCCAUCUGGCCUAAUACUGACGCUGAGGUACGAAAGCAUGGGGAGCAAACAGGAUUAGAUAC
Molecule: ribosomal RNA, 760 nt
Filed under: uncultured bacterium
Lineage: Bacteria
Description: bacterial SSU rRNA
Rfam family: Bacterial small subunit ribosomal RNA
Source: RNAcentral